GGGGGCGAAAAGGGUUCGACGGAGGCAAUGAGAUAGAGGCUGCAUGCCGAGGUCCCACCUACCUCGUAAAACUGGUGGAACCAAAGAAGUGCAGAAACUCUGCCUGUUGCUGCCUAAUUGAAGGCAUGCCGUCUCUCCUGGGUUUUCCUGCGACCCUUGAGAGGCGCCGGUAAGCAGGAUAGCAACUCGGGUUUGCCUUGAGCCUGGGAAGCGAAACCUAAUCAAGGCUGGCGGUUCGGUGCCUUUCCUCUUCGGGAGCUGAAUCGUGAAAAUAAAGAAGAGGAUAAGCAUGUAGAGGCCUCGUGUCGAAGGCCUUCGGACGCGGGUUCGAUUCCCGCCGCCUCCAUUU
Molecule: non-coding RNA, 349 nt
Organism: Candidatus Aminicenantes bacterium 4484_214
Lineage: Bacteria; Candidatus Aminicenantota
Source: Rfam